RNAcentral lists this ribosomal RNA (447 nucleotides) under uncultured bacterium. RNAcentral's name for it is "bacterial SSU rRNA". It matches the Rfam family "Bacterial small subunit ribosomal RNA", at positions 329 to 793 of the family's 1533-position model. The record is from RNAcentral.
AGCCAGACUCCUACGGGAGGCAGCAGUGGGGGAUAUUGCACAAUGGGGGGAACCCUGAUGCAGCGACGCCGCGUGAGUGAAGAAGUAUUUCGGUAUGUAAAGCUCUAUCAGCAGGGACGAAGAUGACGGUACCUGCAGAAGAAGCCCCGGCUAACUACGUGCCAGCAGCCGCGGUAAUACGUAGGGGGCAAGCGUUAUCCGGAUUUACUGGGUGUAAAGGGGGCGCAGACGGCGAUGCAAGCCAGGAGUGAAAGCCCGGGGCCCAACCCCGGGACUGCUCUUGGAACUGCGUGGCUGGAGUGCGGGAGGGGCAGGCGGAAUUCCUAGUGUAGCGGUGAAAUGCGUAGAUAUUAGGAGGAACACCGGCGGCGAAGGCGGCCUGCUGGACCGUAACUGACGUUGAGGCUCGAAAGCGUGGGGAGCAAACAGGAUUAGAUACCCUUGUAA